CCGAGGGCGCCAUAAGAACUGCUAACUCUUUAAUCUGGAACUAAUAAACCAGCCCCCUC
RNAcentral lists this transfer RNA (59 nucleotides) under Lampropeltis getula. Its description in RNAcentral is "tRNA-Ser". Lineage: Eukaryota; Metazoa; Chordata; Lepidosauria; Squamata; Colubridae. The record is from RNAcentral.